Ictidomys tridecemlineatus (thirteen-lined ground squirrel) is the source of this 654-nucleotide long non-coding RNA. Lineage: Eukaryota; Metazoa; Chordata; Mammalia; Rodentia; Sciuridae. The record is from Ensembl.
AUGAGCUUGGCAGAAUUGCCUGGAGAAGGGAGAGAUGGAGCCAUCAGGAAACAAUCACACUGGUCUGAAAAUGAGGUGACAAGACUUCCAAGUGAGGAAACUGAACAAGAUGAUUGGUAUGGCAGCUUCUUUUACAUCCAUGUGUGCUCUUCACUCCUGAAGAUUACUGCAGGUGGACUGAGACCUUGGAAGCCUCUCCUGUCCAGUUUUGUCUUGAUGCUAGACCUGGCUCACAAUACCGGAAAUUACCAACAUUUACUGUGAAGAGAUUUCCUUGCGUCAGCAUUUUCUAUUACUUUGUCAUGGACUCCUAUUACAUUCACAGAAUGAUUUGAGCUUCUGUUUUUUUCCCUUGAGCAAAGAAGAAAAUAGAAAAAAAAAAGUGUUUGGUUGGGGGGGGCAAUCUUGAUAUUUGUUAUUAUGCAGUUUUACUUGUGAAGCAUAAUUUAUAGCCACAAGUCUCCUUUUUUGUAUUAGGUGCCACUUCAGAUGUCCGAUGCUAAACAGAAAGUGCUAUAAAAAUGUCCGUCCUCCCUCAGAGAGAUUCAAAUGCUUGACAAUAAAGUGAGAAAUGGUUUCACAUGUAACCUUGGUGCCACUUUCAUGGAAUAUUUAUUUGUCAAUUAUUUUAUUCUUAGGCUAGUUUUAUGCCUG